GGUGAUGUGAUGGCAUGUGUGAGUUGAAUCCAAAGUUGAGGUCAGUUCUAAAGUUACACCCCACUUG
Molecule: small nucleolar RNA, 67 nt
Organism: Hyaena hyaena (striped hyena)
Lineage: Eukaryota; Metazoa; Chordata; Mammalia; Carnivora; Hyaenidae
Product: small nucleolar RNA SNORD45
Exons: 1
Source: RefSeq, a predicted model, not a curated record